Molecule: long non-coding RNA, 666 nt
Organism: Zophobas morio
Lineage: Eukaryota; Metazoa; Arthropoda; Insecta; Coleoptera; Tenebrionidae
Exons: 3
Source: RefSeq, a predicted model, not a curated record
GAUUGUUGUAUUGUAAGAGUGCGUGGUUCUAUUUAAAUUAAAUAAUACUGAACGCCGGAAUAAAAUUAUGGUAGCUAAAAGAGUUAUAGGUAUUGCGUCGAUAGUGAUUUUUUGUGUUUAUCUUUGGUUUCAUGCUGACCACAAAACACGUGACAAGUUUAUUGUUAAUUUAUGGGAAAAAUAUUUUGGAUACACAUGUAUUGGUGUAGUAAUAGUUAUUAUAAUAAUAGGGAAAUGUUGUGGAUGCGAUCAGGAAUUCGACGAUUGUUAUAAUAAUAAUAAUAAUAAUAAUAUUUAUUGUCGAACAGAAUACAUCCAAUUGUGACAAUUUGAGAAAAGAAAAACUAUUCCUAAUAUAUUUAAGAUCAAAAUGAAAACAAUACUUAUUUUUGUUAAUUAUUAAUUUCUUAAUUCUCUAACCAAAGAACGUAAAGAUAACUGCAUAACAUCUGUUUUUACUUCGAGAGAGUUAAUUGCUCGAGAGAUAUUGUCGAUUAUACAACAUACAACGACUAGCUAACCUUGGAACUAGAAACUGAAAUAAAUUGACCAAUUCAGUGCAGUCAAUUAUGUUCUUGAGCAAUUUAAAUCCAAAAAUUAUGUCACUUUUUACUUUUUACUUUUCUCAUCAUAGUAAUAAUAAUGAUGAUCUGAAAUCACUCAUAG